UCUGUUGCUCAGGCUGGAGUUCAGUGACUCAGUCAUAUCUCACUGCAGCCUCGAACUCCUUGCUUCAAGACGUCCUCCCACUUUGGCAUCUUAAAGUGCUGGGAUUCCAGGUGUGAGCCACCAUGCCCUGCCAAACAGAAGCUCAUGUUUUUGAGGGGAGAAGCCUAGAAGAAGAUGUAACAGGCAGCAAUCUCCUCAACCACUUGAGUGAAACCGGAAAUAGUCUAAAACCUUGAAGCAGAUGAUGCUUAACUCACAGGUUUCUUUCACUUUCUGUUGUCCAGGUCCUGCCUUGGAAAGCAAUUUAUGCCUGAUAUCUUCACAGAAGCAUCUACAAUUUAAUUAGGGCAGAGAGAGAUCCUCUAGGGGAUAAUUCUCUAGUAGCCUAAUUGUGAAUACUGCCAUCCUAUCGUGUGUGAAUUUCUGCAACAGCCUCCUAAUAGGUUGCUCUGCCUCUAGGUCUUGUCCUCUGCCACUCAUCUCUAAUGCCACUCUACAUACUAGCUCUCCAUUGCUGGUAGAAUAAAGUAGGCCUAGCAUCAUCUCACAUCAACCUGCUUCUGAAACCUAAUUUCUAACUUCACUCCAGAUGAUCCUCUCAGCUCAGUCCUUUGUAAUUAUAUUCGUAUUUAAUGUUCUUUAACGCUUUGACCAUCUUCCCUUCCUAAAAUUGCAUCCUCUGGUCCAUGCAUUGCCAUGGCAUAUAAUAAAAUGAAAUACUUGCUGAAUGGAUGGAUGGAUACAUAGAUUUCAUCUUUGCUUUUCUUCCAACCUUAGCUCUUGUAUAAAGCUUUUAUUUAACUAACACAUUUUGUAUUUAUUUAGCCUUGCUUUGAAUCCUAGACUACUUUUCUCUGCCUAUUAUUUAGCACUCAGCAUGUACUGACUUGUGUUGUUAAUUAUUAAUUAAUUAAAUCGAUGAGCAUUGUUAUGUUUCUGUAAUGUACCAGGUACUGGACUGGGCACUGGAGACAGAUACAAAGGAACUUCCUGUUUGUUGCAAAGUGCUUUCAGUGUAGAGGGGAACAGAUGAGAAAAUCACCAGUCACUGCUUUAAAAGAUACACACAGAGAGUGUUGUGUGAGCUUGGGAAAAAUCAAAAGGAGAGGGAUUCAAUAAAAUUUAGGUUGAGGCUCAGGAAAUACUCAGUUCCCAAGAUCAAAAUGCUUGAUCUGAGAGGUGUUUCAUUCAUGUGUGUCUUCUUUCCAAGUCUAUCUGGGCAGGGUUUUUUUUUUUUUUUUUUGCUUUUUUUGAUUUGCCGAGAACCUCGCAUCUAGUAACAAUAUUCAUCCCUUAAAUUUUUGAGUUGCUUUACCAUGAUUAAAGUGAUUUCAUACCCUUCUCUUAAUUAGUUACCAAAAAAUCCAUCUGUUUUUUUGGAUAUCAGGACAAGUAAGACCACAGUACCCAAGAGCAGUAUCCAUUCAGUCUUACCUUCAGCAUGCAUUUAGAAGGAAGGUUUUCUGAUGCCUGUAGAGAGGGCUCAAUCCCACUGAGCAAGUUAAAGGAAUGGGGUUAUUUAGGGGAGACGGAGAUCUUCUGGUCUGCCUUUAUUAAUGGCUCUGAGCUGAAUCAGCUCCACCUUACAUGAUAGCUGAUCCAGCCCUAUUUUUGAAAGGGUAAGAUUUGUUCCCCAUGGGGCAGGUAGAAAUGACAUUUGGAGAAGCCAGCUUCAAGAAACAUCUGGAGGUGUGAGGCCAGGUAAAUGGUAUAAGCAAGAGACAUUCUUUUACAAAUGCAUCAUAAGAAUGUUAUGACAGUGGUAUUCCAGCUGCAGCAGAGAACUGGAGUCUUCCCAAGGGUAAGGAAAGAGGAGACAUUUAUGCUGACAAAUAGAGGUCAGUAUCAAAGACUCUUAAGUUUAAAAAGUUAAAUUAUGAUGAGUUUUGGUGCGAGCUCUCAUGCCAAAAGAACUUUUCCUUCUAAAUGUCAGAUUACUCCUCCUUUACUUCUGCUAGUGGAGUUUUCCUUAUCCUCAGGAAAAUAGUAUAUAAAUAUGGCAGAAAUAUGUUCCUGGGUCAUAAGAGAAAGAAAAAAAAUCUGCUUCAAGUUGCAGCACAGUGCAAGUUUGUAAUCCCUGAAUUUUUCUCCAGCUCUCAGUAUCUAAUCCUUGAAGCCACUUGGUGAAACUCAAAGAUUACAUGGUAACUUGACUAAUAAUUUAAGAGCUGCCAAAAUUAAAAAAAAUAUAGUCUACCCUUCUCCCAAGGAAAGAUCCAUGAGUCACAGACCUAAAAGUGCCAGUAUUUAGGCAGCAAAUGUAGAAAGCACUGAGCAGAAAAAUAUCCAAACUCUUUCAAAACUGGUGGAAAACUGAUACGUUGAAGGCGCAAAGAUUUGUAGCCAUCACUCACCCAUGUAAGGUCCCAGCAUACUCAUGAAUCUUGGAUGGUCCAGAACAGGAUUAUCAAUUUUCAGUGGGACAAGUUUCUUGAACAGAGGGCCAUGAAAAUAUCCAUUUUCUCUUUUCAUGUUGCUGUUGAUUUGUUUUAUCCUAGAGACCAUUAAAAACAAAGCUUUUGUGAUUUAAGUAUGAGGCCUGUUUGUCUUAGUAGCUUUAUUUCCUUGCAAAGUUGGUUUUGGUCUUAGGUUGCAAAGUAAUGGAACUGUGGCCAAGAUAUGUGCAUGCAUGUUAUGAUCGAUGCAUUGGUUAAUUCAUUGUAGUUUGUUACUGUUAUGAAAAAUAUACCCUUUAUCCCUGUAAGGAGGAGGAUGAAUUAGAGCACCUUGUGGGAUUAAGAGCAUGGGUUUUGAGGUUAGACAGAUUUCGGUUUGAGUCCUAGCCAAUCUAAUCACAAGUUCCAUGACCUUAGGCAAGUUUUUAAAACGUUUCUAAGAAUUGGUUUCUUCAUCUGUAAAAUGAUGAUAACACAAGCUAUGAUGUGGAAUUACAAGACAGAUUUAAUGAGAUAAUAUAUAGAAAGCUCUUAGUAGGGUAUGAGACAUAUCAUCAGCACUCAAUAAGUAGUAGGUGUUAUUUUUGUUUCUAUUGCUAUUGCUACCAUCAUCUAACUUCCAUGAACUCUUAUUGAAUCCAUAUUCUCAUCCAGGACACUAGACUCUUUUUAUGCUUCUAGUGAUUGUUUAUUGGUACUUGUCAAUGCGCUAAACACAUGAGAUGCUUUGAUCAUGGGAAUUAAGGGUCCCAAGCCCUAUGUGUGAUCUCCAGGAUAGUGUACCCUUCUGGUUGAACCAGUUAACAAGAGGAACAGACAUGGUGAAGCAUGACUAGCAGAAUUACUUCAGGAUAGGAAAAUUAAGUCAUAUACAGAACACAGAAAACUGAGGGUAUUCAGUAGAGAGAAAACUUGGGAGGAAUAUCAUAGCCCCUUUCAGAUAUGUCAGGAGUUAUAGUGUCAAAUAGAGAUUGGACUGGGUCAGAGUUUCUGAGUCUCAGUGCUACUGACAUGUUGGGUUAGAUAAUUCUUUGUUAAGGGGGUGAGCUGUUGUCUUGUGACUUUUAUGGUGUUUAACAGUACCACUGGCCUCUAUAUACUCUAUAUUUCAGUAGCAUUUUUGGUAGUCACAACAACCAAAAGCAUCUCCAGACAUUGCCAGAUGUCUUCUGGAGCCAAAAAUCUAGGAGUCUUCUGGGAGCCAAUCUCUUUGUUUGAAAACCACUGGACUAGAUUAAUCUUAUAGAGCAGAGCAGAACUGUGACCAGUUUAUGGAAAUGCCACGAGGGUGCUGUUGGUUGAGCCCAAGGAAGACCUUAUUACUACUACCCAGCAAUUUCCCACAGCAGAACAGAUGCUUCAGAGGGCAGUGAGCUUCUGGGCACUGGAGGCAUUCAAUCACAGGCUGAUAAGCUGCUUGGGUUUUCUUAAAUAGUGUUCAUUUGGGGCAGAUUGUUGGUCUUCAUUAUUUCUAUCUUCCUAAUUCUCCCAAACUCCCUAUUCUUUGUGAAAUAAAUUUCUGUCAUCUCAAGUGGUCUAGCCCAUCCUUAGCAUGGAGUUAUGAGGAGAGGACUAACAUGCAAAGAGGACACCAAUGCUCUGAUCUCAGAUCAUCUUCUGUUUGUGACUUGCUAUUUGUGAAUUGCUAAACUUCACUGGGCAUAAGGAUCCCAGAUGCUUUCCUUUAUUCCAAUUCAACAUUCCAUGGUUCUGGAAUGUUGUUUCUUAACUUAAUGUCAAAUCAGAAAAUUUCCCUGUCACUGCUUCUUCUUUAUAGUUUAUGGUUUAAUUGACAAUCUGGAGGAAUUCUCAUUGACUCAGAUUUAGAGAUUCUGUUUGCUGAGGUGCUUAGCUCUUAAAAUCUGAAGAAGAAUAAAAUAAAACCUCAAGGGUUUUGGCUGAAACACAGGUAGAAAUUGCCUUUCACUAACAAAUAAGGAACAUGGUUGAGCCUUAAAACUAUUUUCUGCAAAAACCCUGAUGCUGUGCCCUAGAAGACAAUCAAUGUAUAGUGAUUGAAUUUAACAAAAUAAAGUAUCCUUCCAUGUAGUGGAUUUUAUGCCUUGAAAUUUCAGUGUUUUCUGUGUCUCUUCUAGGGUUUCCAAAUAUUUUAAGUUUGGAACACUUUUUAUUUUCUAUGUAAAGCCUCUAAUAGGAUCAUGUUAUCACAGGUCCUGCUUGCCAUAUAGCUCACUGACCAAGUCUUUCUAAUAUUAGGAGAUAGUAUCUACAUACUUUCAUGUAAUGCUAGAUGACUAUGUCUAUUGCAAAGGCAACAAACUGCUUUUGAAAGCGGAUAAUAUGUUCUAUAAUUGUCAGACCCAUGCUUACCUCUUCCUACCAAAUGAACCAUUAACAUCAUCUUCCUAAAAUGUAUCCACAUCUGUGGUUCAGAGAUCUGCCCCAUCUGAUAUCCUACUUGAGGAAGAUCGGGCUAAUAAACAAACCGAAGACGGAACCAGUACAAACACAAAGAGGCUAUAGAUAAAAAAGAGAGCAUGGCAAGAGGAAGAAAAUACUUGAACUUUUCAAGCAAGGAUGCCACCCAGUUUUAGCUUUAUAAUAGAUGGUCCGUUAGCAUUUUAAAGUGACUAUCAGUUAGAAUAGGCUAGGUUAUAAUGCAGUAACAAACAACCCCCAAAUUUCAGUCCCUUAACAAUAAAAGGUUAUUUCUUGUUUCUGGCCAUCUUAAGUCUACAUCAGUACUGCUCCAUGUUGUGUUUACUCAACGAACCAGGUUGACAGAGCAAUUUUUUUUGUGGGGGGACAUUGCUGGUCAUUGAGCCGAGAGAAAUAGAAAGCUUGGAGACAACAUACUGGCUCUCAAAACUUCUGCGUAUCAGUGACACAUAUUUCCUGCAUAUUUUACUGACUGCAGAAGGUCCAGUGGCCAAGCCCCAUAAAUAGAAGAGAGAAAUGUGAUUCUCCUUCAUUCAAGCUUCAAUAUUGUAAGUUUCCAUGGCCCUUUUCCUGCAGAAUUGAUUACUGGUCAGAAACAAGCUGAACCAUAUAAACUUAAAAAAUGAGAGAACACCUGUGUGUGCCCAUGCAUGAUGCAGAAUUUGGAUCAGCAUUUCUUAGUCUGAGGACCUUUUUUUUCCUCCUGCUGAGUUGGAUGGGGAAUCUGAAGCCCUGUCAUCUUUCCCACAGCCCCCUGCUAACUUUGAGAGAGAAGGGACCAGCUGUGUUUCCUGAUGGAGUGGGGAUGGCAGCUGCAGGCUGAAACACCAUGUUGUCUCAUUGUCCUGAUUUCAAGGUGAAUGGGGUCAGUAGAGAGGGCAGCUGGUAGGACCCAGUCUUUAGCUGAUUUCCUCCUCUAGUUGUGGGGGCUGCUGCAAGUCAUUUGUCUCACCCUGCAUGCCUGUUGUAAUGUUGAAAAAAAAAACCAGAAGGUAAGUUCAGUCCAAUGUGGGCAAUUCAACACACAGGUGGGAAAGGUAUACAAAAGUGUAAUCAAUGCCACCCUGAAGAAAGUGUCUUUGUACUGAAAGUGAGCUAAAAGAAUGUUGGCUUUGGACCCAGAAAAGUAAGAUUUUCUUGAAGUGGUCUUUGGAAUUAAACUAACUGAAAAGACUAGGUGAGGAAAACCAGAAAAUAAUAGAAGAAAGUAGAGAAGAGGAGAGAGGAGAGAAAAGACAGAUCAUUCUGAUCACAAGGGAUAGGUAGAGAUUAGGGAGAGAGACUCUCUUGGGGAUCAAAAUGAUCUGGAGCUUUUUCCUACUGGAUUGAGUUAAAAAGAAUAAGGAAGCAUCUAGAUAGAUUGGGCAUAGAAUAAGCUUGAUCUAAGGAAAUGGUUAACAAUUAAUCUUGAAGUAGACCAUGAGGAAACAGAGUGUGUUGGAGUAUCCUUCCACAAGUGCCCCUUUCUUCCAUAAGUCACAGUCCACUCUGUAACCUCUUGGGACCCAGAUGAAAACUUAUGAAAAAGGGGUGUCAAAGUCAACUGGUGCUGUUGGUUGACAGCUGCCAUGUGUCUUAUUUUGUAGGUACUACUGAAACCAUCUCCAGGUCCAGGCAGGAAUGCACAGGAAGUCCUUGCCCUCCCACUGCUCAUGCAAGAGGGAAAGCCUCCAGCAGGUGCACCAACCUUACUCCCUUUGGUCCAGUGUGAGAUUCUCACUUCUGAUAGUUCAUUUUGAGCAAGAGUUUAUUUUGGGUUAAUUGUAUCAGAACAUAAAUGUUUUGUCCUCUUUGAUACAAAUGGCUACACUGAGUACUUUGGUGGCUUAUUUUAUAGACUCAGACUGUGCUAAAAUGGAAAA
Long non-coding RNA from Sapajus apella (tufted capuchin), 6658 nucleotides. RefSeq lists it as uncharacterized. The transcript has 2 exons. The record is from RefSeq and is a predicted model, not a curated record. NCBI's taxonomy places the organism in Eukaryota, Metazoa, Chordata, Mammalia, Primates, Cebidae.